UUUCCUAUGGUCCAGUGGUUAAGACUCUGUGCUUCUAACGCAAGGGGCUCAGGUUCAAUCCCUGGUAGGGGAA
Molecule: transfer RNA, 73 nt
Filed under: Ovis aries (sheep)
Lineage: Eukaryota; Metazoa; Chordata; Mammalia; Artiodactyla; Bovidae
Rfam family: tRNA
About the family: Transfer RNA (tRNA) molecules are approximately 80 nucleotides in length. Their secondary structure includes four short double-helical elements and three loops (D, anti-codon, and T loops).
Source: Rfam by way of RNAcentral